RNAcentral lists this ribosomal RNA (433 nucleotides) under uncultured bacterium. Its description in RNAcentral is "partial 16S ribosomal RNA". It matches the Rfam family "Bacterial small subunit ribosomal RNA", at positions 29 to 507 of the family's 1533-position model. The record is from RNAcentral.
AACGAACGCUGGCGGCAUGCCUAACACAUGCAAGUCGAACGAGACCUUCGGGUCUAUUGGCGCACGGGUGCGUAACGCGUGGGAACCUGCCCUUAGGUUCGGAAUAACUCCCCGAAAGGGGUGCUAAUACCGGAUAAUGUCUUCGGACCAAAGAUUUAUCGCCUUUGGAUGGGCCCGCGUUGGAUUAGCUAGUUGGUAGGGUAAAAGCCUACCAAGGCGACGAUCCAUAGCUGGUCUGAGAGGAUGAUCAGCCACACUGGGACUGAGACACGGCCCAGACUCCUACGGGAGGCUGCAGUAGGGAAUAUUGGACACUGGGCGAAAGCCUGAUCCAGCCAUGCCGCGUGAGUGAUGAAGGCCUUAGGGUUGUAAAGCUCUUUUACCCGGGAUGAUAAUGACAGUACCGGGUGAAUAAGCUCCGGCUAACUACGUG